GACGAACGCUGGCGGCGUGCUUAACACAUGCAAGUCGAACGGAGAGGCCCUGCUUUUGUGGGGUGCUCGAGUGGCGAACGGGUGAGUAACACGUGAGUAACCUGCCCUUGACUUUGGGAUAACUUCAGGAAACUGGGGCUAAUACCGGAUAGGAGCUCCUGCUGCAUGGUGGGGGUUGGAAAGUUUCGGCGGUUGGGGAUGGACUCGCGGCUUAUCAGCUUGUUGGUGGGGUAGUGGCUUACCAAGGCUUUGACGGGUAGCCGGCCUGAGAGGGUGACCGGCCACAUUGGGACUGAGAUACGGCCCAGACUCCUACGGGAAGCAGCAGUGGGGAAUAUUGCACAAUGGGCGGAAGCCUGAUGCAGCAACGCCGCGUGCGGGAUGACGGCCUUCGGGUUGUAAACCGCUUUCGCCUGUGACGAAGCGUGAGUGACGGUAAUGGGUAAAGAAGCACCGGCUAACUACGUG
This 468-nucleotide ribosomal RNA is filed under the name uncultured bacterium. RNAcentral's name for it is "partial 16S ribosomal RNA". It matches the Rfam family "Bacterial small subunit ribosomal RNA", at positions 28 to 507 of the family's 1533-position model. The record is from RNAcentral.